This 254-nucleotide unclassified non-coding RNA is filed under the name fungal sp. Its description in RNAcentral is "partial internal transcribed spacer region". The stretch from base 1 to 46 matches the Rfam family "Eukaryotic small subunit ribosomal RNA", at positions 1786 to 1831 of the family's 1831-position model. The record is from RNAcentral. Lineage: Eukaryota; Fungi.
AAGUCGUAACAAGGUUUCCGUAGGUGAACCUGCGGAAGGAUCAUUAUAGAGUGUUCUACCCCCUAUAAAAUGGUGGGUUUAACCUCCCGUCCUUUGCUAGACCUCCCUGUUUUGGAGGGCCUUUCAAACUUUUCUGCUUCGGCGGGAUUAUCCCCCGUCGGAACACCCUCAAAAAUUCUUGGUCAAAACCGUUCAGUCCGAGAAUCUUUUUUAUUGGGAAAAAAAAACUUUCAACAACGGAUCUCUUGGUUCUG